AACUUGAUAACCCCAAUAGAAAAAUAAAAUAACCUCACUUUUGUCAUUUUUGUUGAGUGUUAUUAGACCUAAAUAAUAAUAAUUCAAUUGUUAAUUAUUAUGGUUGUGGGAUAUUGGAUGGUCGUUGAAUCGAGAUAAAGUAGAAGAAUGGCAUGGCAUCUUAGGAUUCGGAAACCCAGAGCACUCACAACUUCCAACAUUGUAAUUGGAACAUUUCUGGGAUUUGUAACAGGCUUCUACAUCUAUAACUCUCCGUUACAGGAGUACACGAAAGAUCAAGAAACAAACAAACUAAAUACUGAAACUUCAAAGGAAGACAUAGCUUAGUUGAAAACAGCAAUAAGAAAGUGUCAAAAUGGAAAAAAAACAACCACCAAAGAGAAUUCCAACAAGAUUGGAGAAAGUCAAUGCUGAAUCUGUUUCUAGAAAGCCUUUUUUAAAAAUAUUCAAGCAAAAUUUAACGUCAAAAACAACUCUCGGUAUUUCUGGGUUCGUACUUGUGGUCCUCUUUGCAAUAACUGUGGGAAAGCCUGCGUAUACUGUGCGGAAAAUGAAAAAAGCUGAAGAAUCUGCGGACCUACUGUGGGAAAGAGAUCAUAGAUAUUCAUCAAAAUAAUGUAAAAAAGUGUAAGUAGUUUGUAUAUAGGCCUAGUUAAAUAAAAAUCAAAUUAUUAUGUUGACAAUUGAA
Molecule: long non-coding RNA, 688 nt
Organism: Macrosteles quadrilineatus (aster leafhopper)
Lineage: Eukaryota; Metazoa; Arthropoda; Insecta; Hemiptera; Cicadellidae
Exons: 3
Source: RefSeq, a predicted model, not a curated record